RNAcentral lists this ribosomal RNA (399 nucleotides) under uncultured bacterium. RNAcentral's name for it is "bacterial SSU rRNA". It matches the Rfam family "Bacterial small subunit ribosomal RNA", at positions 28 to 423 of the family's 1533-position model. The record is from RNAcentral.
GACGAACGCUGGCGGCGUGCUUAAUACAUGCAAGUCAACUGAACUUAAGGUAGCAAUAUUUUAAGGGAGGUGGCGCACGGGUGAGUAACACGUAGGUAAUCUGCCUUUAGGUCUGACAUAAUUCCGCGAAAGCGGGACUAAUAUCAGAUGAUGCAGCGGCUCGACAUCGAGACAGUUGUUAAACCUUCGGGGCCUAAAGAUGAGCCUGCGUCUGAUUAGGUAGNGGUCGGAGUAAAAGACCCACCAAGCCUGCGAUCAGUAGCUGGUCUGAGAGGAUGAUCAGCCACACUGGAACUGAGACACGGUCCAGACUCCUACGGGAGGCAGCAGUAAGGAAUAUUGCUCAAUGGCCGAAAGGCUGAAGCAGCAACGCCGCGUGGAGGAUGAAAUACUUUUGUA